This 2125-nucleotide ribosomal RNA is filed under the name Triticum aestivum (bread wheat). Its description in RNAcentral is "partial small subunit ribosomal RNA". The record is from RNAcentral. Lineage: Eukaryota; Viridiplantae; Streptophyta; Magnoliopsida; Poales; Poaceae.
CACUGCGAGUGGUACAUCCCUCCCAUCGUGUUAGGAGUUGCGGCGAAGACGGACGGACUUAAAUUCACUACCGCGCCCGCAGGUAAACGUAUUUAGGGGCCAUUGAGACGGACGGACGGUCACGGUCAUCCACAUCGCGGUGACGUGUUGUCCCUAUAAAAGUGACAAAACUGGGCAGACUAAUUCAAAUCGUACUAAACUCCCCAUGCGCUGCUGCUACUACGACUGGACUGGACUGAGCAUGUCUACCAGUCAGGGUUGUAGCUAGGUUUGUUUAGUUCAGUCGAUCACGUUUCGAACGGUGUAUCGAUUCCGCUACCUCAGUUCGAAUCGAUACCGCUGCUGCGGCGGCGGGGUGGCCGGCGGCGAACACGAGAAUAGGGACGACGACGAGGAGGAGGUAGGGAAGAAGAGGCGGCGUCGCGGCAGAUAGUGGUGGUUUCGGCACGGCGCCGACGGGCCAAAGUCGCCUGGGGACGGGAAGAGGGAGCUUUGUCCCAUGCACCCCGACCUGCUGCCGCGGGUUGAGAAGAUGAUGAAGUAGGUCAGCCUCUUGCUGGGCCUCCUCCUGGGGCAGGAAGAGACCGAGUGCCCGCCCGGGCCAACGAGGCGGGAGAGUCCGGAGCGGAUGCUCUAGCCGGGAAAGUUGAAACUGAAGGUACCGAUGUACCCUCCGGACGGAUGAGACGAGAUGGUCGGUAGCAGAACCCGUUUCCAAUCGUUGUAGUAGAAGCACCUAAGAGGCCAUCCUUGUCCGAAGAGUAUACGCUGGCCUCUGUUCUCUUGGUAUGUUUCACUGUGUUAACAACAAGUCGUCGACGUGUAAAAGGAACUUUGCACCAAACUACUUGUAGGCGUCAAGAACGGUUUAGGUGAGAUAUAAAGUCCACUAAGUAUAUCGCCGAAUUAGUAUGGAAGAGAACGAUACUUUUAACGAUUUCCCUAUCUUGAGCCGUUACUCGCUGAGUAAUUAGAGUUCCCACAGUAACGACCGUUAGGUAAUUGGCUAUUGUGCUGCUGGAAGUUGCGAGCUCAAGGUAAAGAAGUACCCUACCCUUAAUAUGGUCUACUUGAGAUGCUCCGACGAGCACUUUCGACGCCCCCCCUUAUGGCAACCCGUAGCUUGCGGGUGACACGGCUAAGGGAGGUUCGGUAGGUUCUCACGUACUCCCCAAAUUUGUGACAUGUGCAGAACCUCGGUCGCACACUUCUUAUAGGUUCGGAGUGGUAAGUGUUCGUCGUCGGCAACGUUCUGGUACCCUCCUUUUACGAUUGUCUCAGGCGUAAAAGCAGGCACACGUCCUUACGGUGUAUGAAGGAUAGGCUCAAUACCUGUUUACUGCUUCGACAUUCCCUCUCAGACCCAUAAGUGUUCCCUUGUCAAGGUAGUACCGAUGCUACACUACAGUUAGAUGGAAUGUGUGUACUUUAGUGGUCGCGCCAUCUACUAGUACGUCGGGACUAAUGAUCUCCUAUGGCCCGAUACUAUAUAUCACCUCUGGUACUGGGAUUUCAUAGAAUACAACUGUGGGUUCGUACCUAGUCUGCUGAAUUCGACGGGUAGUGUCUAGGAACCGCUGGUACCGUACACCUGCUGGUUUAGCACCCUAUGUGUUCUUGAAAGAGAUUGUUAGACUGUAUGCGUUGACAUUUCCCACGGCCUGUGUGUCGGGGUCUCAUGUACGGUUCCCUCACAGAACGAUACUAGCUAUCUACCGAAAGGCCACUCGGAGAGACUCGUCAGUUGAUUGCAACGCGGUGUACGCUUCCAACUUGAUCCUAAUAAAGUUUUGACGCUGUGGAUAAUACCUAGCUUUCAUCAUUAUCUAUUCUCUUAUGUAUACAUUCUACUUUCUACAGCAACAUAUACACACAACAUAACUCCGAAAGAUAACUAGAAUUAAUUCGAACACCUCCCUGACCGAACUCUUAAGGCCACUUUUAUUUAUUCGAGGAUACGCCUUUUCGAGAGCUUAUACCAAAGAAAAAACGGGAUAAAAAAAAUCUAAUACUCUAAACCCACCCAGAUAAAAGUACUACUCGAAUACGUUUUCAGACAUUACCACGGCUACACAUUACGAUUAGUUCCCUAAAUCGAUCCGGACUAACUCAUAUUCUCGACUUC